GACGAACGCUUGCGGCGUGCUUAACACAUGCAAGUCGAACGGAAAGGCCCUGCUUUUGUGGGGUGCUCGAGUGGCGAACGGGUGAGUAACACGUGAGUAACCUGCCCUUGACUUUGGGAUAACUUCAGGAAACUGGGGCUAAUACCGGAUAGGAGCUCCUGCUGCAUGGUGGGGGUUGGAAAGUUUCGGCGGUUGGGGAUGGACUCGCGGCUUAUCAGCUUGUUGGUGGGGUAGUGGCUUACCAAGGCUUUGACGGGUAGCCGGCCUGAGAGGGUGACCGGCCACAUUGGGACUGAGAUACGGCCCAGACUCCUACGGGAGGCAGCAGUGGGGAAUAUUGCACAAUGGGCGGAAGCCUGAUGCAGCAACGCCGCGUGCGGGAUGACGGCCUUCGGGUUGUAAACCGCUUUCGCCUGUGACGAAGCGUGAGUGACGGUAAUGGGUAAAGAAGCACCGGCUAACUACGUGCCAGCAGCCGCGGUGAUACGUAGGGUGCGAGCGUUGCCCGGAUUUAUUGGGCGUAAAGGGCUCGUAGGUGGUUGAUCGCGUCGGAAGUGUAAUCUUGGGGCUUAACCCUGAGCGUGCUUUCGAUACGGGUAGACUUGAGGAAGGUAGGGGAGAAUGGAAUUCCUGGUGGAGCGGUGGAAUGCGCAGAUAUCAGGAGGAACACCAGCGGCGAAGGCGGCCCUCUGGGCCUUUCCUGACGCUGAGGAGCGAAAGCGUGGGGAGCGAACAGGCUUAGAUACCCUGGUAGUCCACGCUGUAAACGGUGGGUACUAGGUGUGGGGUCCAUUCCACGAGUUCCGUGCCGUAGCUAACGCUUUAAGUACCCCGCCUGGGGAGUACGGCCGCAAGGCUAAAACUCAAAGGAAUUGACGGGGCCCCGCACAAGCGGCGGAGCAUGCGGAUUAAUUCGAUGCAACGCGUAGAACCUUACCUGGGUUUGACAUGGAUCGGGAGUGCUCAGAGAUGGGUGUGCCUCUUUUGGGGUCGGUUCACAGGUGGUGCAUGGCUGUCGUCAGCUCGUGUCGUGAGAUGUUGGGUUAAGUCCCGCAACGAGCGCAACCCUUGUUCACUGUUGCCAGCACGUUAUGGUGGGGACUCAGUGGAGACCGCCGGGGUCAACUCGGAGGAAGGUGGGGAUGACGUCAAGUCAUCAUGCCCCUUAUGUCCAGGGCUUCACGCAUGCUACAAUGGCUGGUACAGAGAGUGGCGAGCCUGUGAGGGUGAGCGAAUCUCGGAAAGCCGGUCUCAGUUCGGAUUGGGGUCUGCAACUCGACCUCAUGAAGUCGGAGUCGCUAGUAAUCGCAGAUCAGCAACGCUGCGGUGAAUACGUUCCCGGG
RNAcentral lists this ribosomal RNA (1343 nucleotides) under uncultured bacterium. RNAcentral's name for it is "16S ribosomal RNA". It matches the Rfam family "Bacterial small subunit ribosomal RNA", at positions 28 to 1378 of the family's 1533-position model. The record is from RNAcentral.